Podarcis lilfordi (Lilford's wall lizard) is the source of this 4171-nucleotide non-coding RNA. The record is from the annotation of a GenBank genome assembly. NCBI's taxonomy places the organism in Eukaryota, Metazoa, Chordata, Lepidosauria, Squamata, Lacertidae.
CCAACAUUCAGUUUGUUACACUUCACAAUAGUGAAGCAAGUCACAACUUUGUAGGAAUGUUUUCUGUACAGAACAGAAGUAUGAUCAAAGAAGGUUGAAAUGAACAUUGGAGUGCAUCUACUGGUAUUGUCUUUUCUGUCUUGCAGCUGCUUUUGUGAGCUUGAUUCGUAACCAUUACAUUUUUGUUACUGCCAUCAUUACCUAACUAAUUAACUUGCCAGACUUAAUUCUGAUUCUAUGUGGCCUAUUUAUCCUGAGUAUCCUGUCAGUGACCAGAUAGUUAAGCACAGGCAUAGGCAAACUCGGCCCUCCAGAUGUUUUGGGACUACAAUUCCCAUCAUCCCUGACCACUGGUCCUGUUAAGCUAAGGAUGGUGGGAGUUAUAGCCCCAAAACUUCAGGAGCGCCGAGUUUGCCUAUGCCUGGUUAAGCACAUCACUGCACAAAUAAUAUGCCUCCAACUUUGCUCUUUUUUGUUGGUGGAAGUGGCAGAGGGGCAAAGAGAGGAAGAUUUAAAAAGGCAGAAAAACUGAUAUCUGUUAGGCAUUUGCCUAUCAGCACUUCUCUCCAAAAUUACAAUGGGAAAGUCAUAAGUCUCUUGAAGCAAAAACGCAUCAUAGCUAUGUGCUUUGCUAAGAUUGUUUAGUGGGGUGGAGUUCCCUCAGUCCACUUUGAUUCCAAUCCAUGAUGUAAGUCAGUUCUGAGAGAAGGUAAAGCCAGGAUCACUCAGAUGUCCUUUAGAGAAGCCUUCCUUGGUGACUUCCCAAUGUUGUUUCACCAUAACUCCCACCUUCACUAACCUUUGGCCAUGUUUCCUGGGCCAAUCUGAAGUUGGAGACCAACAUCUGGGGACACCAGGUUGAGGAAGUUUCAUGUAAAAGUAUCUGUGCUAGCCAUCAUCCCAUGUGACCGCAUCUUCCAUGGCCUCAAUGCCAGUUGUUCCUGCCGAUCCCAACAGCUUAACAACAGAAAAGGAAUAGUAGUCACAUGGACACAUAACAGGCCUGUACUGCAGCAGCAAUAAUGACUAUGCAUCCAACUGCUACAUGAAGGCAACUACUCCAGAAAUUGGAAAAUGUCCUGGUCCAGUGGGGUUACUAGACCUUAGUACCAUCUCUGAUGGAUUCUACAAGUGGUGUCCUCACUUUGAGAUUCCAUCCAAUUGUGCCACCUUGUGCCCGAACAAGAUUUGUCUGAGCAAUAUUUUGUGAUUAUCUUGGGAUAUGGGAUCAAUUGACCAGCAGAGGCCAAAUUUGUAACUAGAUUCUUGAAAAAAUAUCUGCUAUCCAAUGGGUGUGCAGAAUGUCAGAAGCUGCUGGAAUCUGUGGAUGGAUUAACGUCCAGAGAACUGAAGCAGUAAGUCCAAUGUUUCUUGAACCAUUACGAGAAUAACAAAAUCAUGGUAUUCUUUCUCUCUCAAUUUGAUUACAAUAGUGCAGAAACCAUAUCUCUGUUAGUUGCUACCUAUGAUUGCACACAUCAGUCCCCUCCCCAACAGAAUAUCCAGAGCAAAACAGGUUAUAAAAAAACAUCCAUGGUACACUAUCUAGCAUUUAUCAUUUGAAACACAAACACAAUUUGAAACUCUGAAGAAUUCUAAAAAAGUCAGUAUCAAAACUACUGUUAUAAUAUGUUAGAUUAUAGAGUCCUACAGCAGUCAGGAUACAAACAGCAAUCUAGAUUGCUAUGAAAUAACACAACUUUUGAAUUCCUUUCCAGUUCUAUAUACUCAGCCACCUUGGAAUUAACCAUUCUGGAAAUACUAUUUACAAAGAAAGAAGUAAAAAAGAAUUAAGAAUCUCAGGAAAAACAAAGCACCUAGUCCAAAUUCCCCUCUAAAUUUCUAAAAGUCUUUGUUGAACAACUGGCUAUCCUCUUCAAAACUAUGUUAAAUGAGUCACUUGAAAUUUCCUAAAGACCAGAUCUGAGGCAGUAAUCGCAGUAAUAUCAAACACAGGUAAAUAUCAAACAAAUCCAAGCUUUUUCUGUCUAAUUUCUCCUUCUUAAUCAAGACUACUCAUGAAAUAGGGCUGCACUGCAUUAAUGAGCUGAGCUUCUGAGUACUUUGUGUUAAUCUUUUUACAUUACCUUUGGGGAUACACAACAGCGAUUACUAUGUGCCAUGAGAAUGCAUUCUUUAUACCAGGCAGCAGGGGGGGUCUCUGACGCUUGGGCCUUAUUAUCCCUGUCACAGUUCCCAAUUUGGCCCACAAGGUCAUUUCCCCUCAACCAUGCCCACUGUCUCCAUGCCUGAAGUCAUAUGUGACAUCAAGUGUGGGCAAGUGGAAAUGAGCCCUUAAUGUGCUCUCAACAAUUCUUUGGCAAGGAGUGGCUAUCAGCACCUGUUAGCUGGCCUACCAGUGCUUUCAACAGACAAACCUGAAGGACAUGGUCUUCCCAGACAGGGAUGGGGAAUGUUUAAGCCUUCGCAUUUUGUUUGACCACAGCUUCCAUCAGCCCCAGCAAACAUGGCCAAUGAUUAGGGGUGAUUUGAGUUGAAAUUCAGCAAGAUCUGGAAGGCCAUGUGCUCUCCCUCCCUGUUCUAGGGAAUAUCCAUGGAGGUGAUAUGUGCUAGACCUUUCUGUAGAAAGAGUGGGUGGAAGUCCACAACAGAUUUUGUUGUGGCCAGACGUUCUCAUUACAGUGGUACCUCUGUUUACGAACUUAAUCCAUUCCAGAAAUCCAUUCUUAAACGGAAACUGUUCUUAAACCGAGGUGCACUUUUCCUAAUGAGGCUUCCUGCUGCUGGUGCCCUUCCACCGUUCAGCUUCUGUUCGUAAACCAAGGUAACGUUCGCACACUGGGACACUACUUCCAGUUUUGCGGAGUUCGUAAACUGAAUAGUCCGUAAACAGGGCUGUUCUUAAACCGAGGUACCACUGUACCUCCAAAUGGAGGCUUAUAUCCCUCUUUUACAAUCCAGUACAAAGCAGCCAGACAAGCGAGAUCACAAAUUCGAACUGGGCUGUUCUCAGCUGAAACAUAGGCAACUAGAAUAUUGUCAGGCAGGUGGUCCUUUUCAAAAUUUCCUACCUCUGUUACAUAAAUAUCAGCACCUUAAUAAUUACAAGUUGUAUUUGAUUUCCACAGGUUGAGAAGGAAAAUGGAAAACAUCAAUAAUGUCAUGAUGGCAAAGGCAAGCACCUUGUCUUCCCACACUACUGAUGCAUGCAAGAAUACUGCCAAAUACAUGCAAGCUUCAUACUUCUACAGAUUAAACGUGCUGGCUGUAUCUGUUCCCAUCUGCAUCGUUGGAUUAAUAGCUAAUGCAAUUGUCUUGUGCCUUUACUGCUUCAAGAUCAACAAGCCAAAGUUAGGCCCAUAUUUUUUGAGUGUGACCUUUGCAAACCUUAUUGUAAUCUUGUCCAACCUUGAAGUGGCUGCUUUUCUUCUCGCAGGAGUGGAAACCUCUUUAGUGAUUCAACGUCUAAUGGAGAUACUUCAUAUAUUUGCAUAUGACACAAAUAUAUAUGUCGUAACAUUUCUCACUGCUGACAGAUUCCUCAUUGUCUAUUUCCCAGUCUGGUGGCAACAUCGCCGGACCAAGCAUUUCACGGUAAUGAUGUGUGUGAUUUUGUGGUUCGUUUCUGGCCUAGAGUCACUGGUGGAAUAUUUUUCCUGCUAUGCAACAGUCAGUACUUGGGCUUAUAACACCUGUAGAACUGCAAGCGUGCUGGCACUCAUCAUGGAGGUCAUUAUUUUUUCCUCCUGCAUUUUCUGUUUCUCUUUUGCCAUUUGGAUCAGAAUGCAAAGAUCACAGCAAAAGCAUCGAGCAAGACUUGACAUAACCAUUGUGGCCAUAGCAAUUCUUAUUCUUUUGCUUACUGUCCCAGUUAGACUUGUUAAUAUUAUUUCACUUUGGGUAAGUGCAAUAGAUUAUUAUAUGUUCACUAGCAUUAGUCUGUUACUGGAUUCUUGCACCUGCAGCACCAUUCCUUUUGUAUUCCUCAUUGUUGGAAGCUGGAAGAGGCAGAAAGGCUUUGAACCCUUCUAUAUGUUUCUUGAGAGGGCUUUAAAGGAUACUGAAGAGACAUCAGAGCCAACAGCAGCGGACCAGGAGCAGGCAUGACAAUAUCCUUGGCCUCAGAAGUAAUUUCUUUUAAAAAAAAAAAGUGUAUGUUUUAUGGAGAAAAAAACGACGUUCCUUCCAAGUUUCAGAAUAAAUUUAUUUC